ACGUAGGUGGCAAGCGUUGUCCGGAAUUACUGGGUGUAAAGGGAGCGCAGGCGGGACGGCAAGUUGGGUGUGAAAUCUAUGGGCUCAACCCAUAGCGUGCAUUCAAAACUAGCUGUUCUUGAGUGAUGGAGAGGCAGGCGGAAUUCCCGGUGUAGCGGUGGAAUGCGUAGAUAUCGGGAGGAACACCAGUGGCGAAGGCGGCCUGCUGGACAUUUACUGACGCUGAGGCUCGAAAGUGUGGGGAGCAAACAGGAUUAGAUA
Molecule: ribosomal RNA, 261 nt
Filed under: uncultured prokaryote
Description: partial 16S ribosomal RNA
Rfam family: Bacterial small subunit ribosomal RNA
Source: RNAcentral